RNAcentral lists this long non-coding RNA (270 nucleotides) under Hordeum vulgare. RNAcentral's name for it is "long non-coding RNA (HVUL_LNC006064)". Lineage: Eukaryota; Viridiplantae; Streptophyta; Magnoliopsida; Poales; Poaceae. The record is from RNAcentral.
CAGAUCCGCCACGAGCGAUGGCGGUUGCGCGUCCUAGGGGUGAAGAGAGACGCCUUGUUUGUGGACAUCGACAAGGUAACGAAGGAAUUUGAAGACGAGACCGAGGACAUCACCAACUCCGCAUUGGCCGCGCCGCCACCGCCGUUCCCACCUUGCCGCCACGACGAUGCCAACACGUCCAAAUCCACCGUUGGUGAUGCAAAGUAGAGUAAAACAUGGGAAGCCGCCGCCGCUUGGGUCCUAGGAAGGCCACCACCGACGUCUUUCCGG